This 72-nucleotide transfer RNA is filed under the name Phototrophicus methaneseepsis. It matches the Rfam family "tRNA". From Rfam's summary of the family: Transfer RNA (tRNA) molecules are approximately 80 nucleotides in length. Their secondary structure includes four short double-helical elements and three loops (D, anti-codon, and T loops). Lineage: Bacteria; Bacillati; Chloroflexota; Candidatus Thermofontia; Phototrophicales; Phototrophicaceae. The record is from Rfam by way of RNAcentral.
UGGGGGAUAGUUUAAUUGGCAAAACUACGGAUUCUGGUUCCGUCAUUCUUGGUUCGAGUCCAGGUCCCCCAG